Mirounga angustirostris (Northern elephant seal) is the source of this 22522-nucleotide long non-coding RNA. RefSeq lists it as uncharacterized. The transcript is spliced from 2 exons. The record is from RefSeq and is a predicted model, not a curated record. NCBI's taxonomy places the organism in Eukaryota, Metazoa, Chordata, Mammalia, Carnivora, Phocidae.
UGCAAAAUCACUAGGUAGCCUAUCCCAGGACGGAGUUUUCUUAUGAAAUACUUCAAGCCUUCAGGCCCCUGGUAACAGAGAAUAACAAAACCUAACACACUCCCCACAAGCCACCACGCAGCAACCUCAUGGGGCUCAACGUUUUACUCAACUGGCCCCCAACCAUUUCUAAUCCUACACAAAUCACAGCAGAGUUUCUCCAGCAGGGACGCUACAGGCGCAGCUCCGUGUGCGGUUCACAGCCGACCACCCUCGGACAGCCCCCAGCUUCCCUGGGGAGGGUCCCGAACCCUCCCGCCGGCCCGCCCCGCCCCCACCCGCGCGCCUCGGCGCUGACGUCACCGGCGCUCACGAGGCGAGGCCGAGCCACCGCCCGAGGAGUCACGCGGAGGCGCCCCGCCCCCACCCGCCGCCGGCAGUGAUGCGCCCUCCGCAGAGAUCCCUCCGCCGCCGCCUCCUGGAAUUUUCCAGACGCUCUGCCGGCCCUUCUUUCGGGCUUGUGCGGGGCCGGGUGACCUGAGGCGACCCCAGCGUUUCGGUCGGCCCCCUCGGGAGUGCGGCCCCAGCCCGCUUCCCGCACGCUGCCCCCCCGUUUCAGGGAGCGCUGUUCCUACGCUCUCAUCCCCCAAGAAGGAAGAGGGGGCUUCUCCCGCACGGAAAUCGCAUCCCCAAUGUGACCUUGAAAUUUUUUCCCGCGUGUCACGAAGCACUGCUAAAGGGGAACCGCGAGUAACCGGGGAACCCAGAUGGUGGACACGGGGGAGGCGGAGGAGGGGGGAGACAGAGACCCGCCCGAGUCGUCUCCUUGGGCAGGGUCGGGGAGGGACUUUUUUCCCCCCGUGGCGGUGGAGGAAUCGUCCCGUUGAGUAAUGCCCCCGAGUGACGCGGCACGGGGCUAUAAAAGCAAAAGUUGUGGCCUGUCCAUCAGGAGUCAGCGACAGGGAGGGCCGUGGCGUGGGGUUUAGUGGUGGGGAGGAAGUUGCCAGUUUAGGGCCUCAGGGGACAGAUGGGGGAGAUGACAGAUGAGACUGAAGGGGUUUGGGGUACAAGGACAAGGAAGGCUAAAGAGGAAGCUAGACCUUGGGGAAACUAUGGUGGGGAGAGUUGCGUUGACAGCUACCGCAGUGACCCAGCGGAGGACAGCCCUUCAGGCUGGACUGUCGCUGCCUUCUGGAGAAGGGGAACUUGACCUCUAGGAGGGCGCUGCCCUGUGUGGCCCCAGCGAGCCCCAGUGUCCUGGUUUGUGUGGGAGGAGGAAGGCAGAAGCGAGAGGAGACAGGAUCUCGCCACCCUUGCUGGAGAGGAAGCGGAACUGGGCAGUUGAUGCCAGGAGAACGAUCAGGAAGGAAGGCAGUGGGUUGUAGGGCUGCAGGUGGGCUGGGAGGGCAGACCUUGAACUUGUCAAUACCAGCAGCCCCCUUUUCUUUCAGAAGGCUGCGACCCCGCGUGGGGAUGAGGCCUGGUCUUGUGGAAACUGAACUUAGCUUGGCGGGGCUGACCGCUCUGGCCCAGGGUGGUAUGUAAUUUUGGUUCGGCCUGGGACAGGGUCCCGGCCGUGGCCAGCCUGGUGGAACCCGGGUCUGGGUGUGAGGCCAGACCCCUUGUUGGAGGCGAGGGUGGUCUCCGGAGUGAUUGAGGAGGCAAGGUGCCAUCUAAACAGUUAAUUGGUGUGGCGCCUGAUGUCUGACAGGCUGGGGCUGCUGAGGCAGGAUGUUUGUGUGUCUGUGGACAAAAUUGACCCACACUUUAUUUUCCAGGUGUCAGUGCUCCCCUUUGGACUUUUCCUCUAGGUUCGGUGCUAACUUCUGUGAGCUCACUCUGCUCCUCCUCCUCCUAACUUUCUUGAGGUUAUCCAUUCGCUUAAAACAUUGCUUCUGGUAACCUGGUAAGCCUGGGAAAGUUGCCGAAGGCCCUGAGAAAUUCGGUUGUGUUGGUAAUCGUGAAGGAGGAAAGGCCCUCCCUGCUGAGACUCGGGGUGGGAUGGGGUGGUGGUGCUUGCCUGCAGAGAGGGUGGGGAUCGGAUGUGUACCUUGGGUGGGCCUGCAGUAAGGGCACCAGCUGGAAGUUUACAGAAUGCCUCAUGGACCAUGGUUUGUUACUGUAGUGUUCAUCGUGGUGAUCAGAUGGCACCCAGGAGAAAUGGAGCCCCUGGCCAGUGUGAGUCAUAGCAGUGCAGGAGGGGAGACCCUGAAGGAGAGAGCCCGCCUAAAUUGAUGUCUGCAGAUGGAAUUUCCAGAGGCUUAGGAGGUGGAAGUUCUCCGAUGUCCCGUUUCCAGGCCUUGCUCAGGAAGCCCUGUAUUCAGGAGGCUGUUUAAGGUUUUCAGAUGAGCUUAUGAGGGGUCAAUCAUUAAAAGUCCAAAGCAGAUGCAUCGGGCCAUCCGCAGAUGUGUUGCAUUGAUUGAUCCGGGAGCGCCAACCUCCAGGCAUGUGGAUGCCAGCAGGCACCCCUCCUUUCCUGGGGUGGAGGUUUUCAGAUGCUGCAUCUUCUAAAUUGAGCCUCCAGUCAUAACUGGUUCUGGGCUACGAACUUUGCUUCAAGAAGAUUCUUAAGCUGUAGGACGUUUUAACAUGCCACAAGCAGAGGGAUGCCUUGUAGAUGAAUCUUGCAGACGGAGCCCAGUGACCCUCUCACCUGCCCGCCCGCCCGCCCGCCCGCCCGCCAGCCCGCCAGCCUGCCUGCCUGUGCGUUGGUUGGAGGAAUUAGUGUGAUGGUUUAACCUGUAUUUUGGGAAAGUGUUCACAUUUGAAAUGCCUUAGGCGAUACUUAAAUGAAGCAUACUGGCAAAUUGGGGGGGCGGUUAUUGUGUUAUGCUACAGUCUUGGGGGUAGAAGUUGGUUGUGGCCAAAUUCUGUUAGAAAUGGCAGGUCUAGUUUGGGCCUUUCAAUUGCAUUGCAGGUAACUAAGCGAAGGGAGAAUAGCUGGGGUACUGUUAUCUUUGAUUCUUCUAUGUAUUUUUUUAAUGUGAAUUUUGUUUGAUGUAGUUUUCAAAGUAAUCUUUAAAUGGGAGGACCCUGAGGUGUGAGAGGUGGGGGUGGGGCACACCUUGACUUGGUACUGGGAGGGGUGGGGGUAAGGAAAGGGAGAGGGUUGGGUUUAGGUAUAUGCUGCAGAGGGUGGGGGUGGUAGGGAAUGUGGGUUGAAAGGAAUUCUGGCAAAAAAAGGUCAAGUAGAGCUCUGGGGAAUAUAACAGACAACUGGGCAAAGAAAGUACUAGUUAAUGCUGGUUAAAUUGUCUCUUGAAAGCACAAAAAUUGCUUAGAAACUUUAAAAAGUCCUUUAGAAAUCUGCUAAAUGCAGGGAAAGCAAAAUUUGCUUUGCUGCUAGGUGGGGAAGACUGAAAAGCUGUAAUUGAACAGGAAUGCCCAUCUCUUGAAAGUGGGGGAGGGGUACAGAAAUUCACACCGGCUGAGUAAUAACCUUCACUGCUUCACUAGCUUCUUCAGUGGUUUAUGUGAAGGUGUACAGUCAGUGUUGGAGCUAGAAAUUUUAGGAAAGACUAAAUGCCCGAGUUGUAAGCUUUUAAAGUACUUAAAUUUUAAAAAAAAGUAAAUUUAAAAUUUUGGUGUGCACUUGAGAUUUAGAUGUACUCUUAACAGGUUUAUAACGUUUCUAUUUACUGAGAUUUUGUGAUUGAAAAUUUUGAGCAAAAUGAAAAUGCAAUGGCUUUUAAAGGAACUUUGUUUUAUAAAAUCUCUCCUCUUUGUGGUCUGUAUUAAGAGCAAAGUAAAAAUUGUUGCUAUUACCUUAGUUCUUGUAACAGAAUAACUUUUUUGUGGUCCCUGUAAUACUUGGUAGCAAACAAUCCAUGUACCCUUACAGAGGUUAGUGUUAACCGAUUGUAUCUUUAAUUUGAAUGUUUGCUUUUUUUGCGGGGCAACUCUCAAGUCAAAAUCAGUUUGGGGAAUAAACAAAAUGGGCGGUGGGGGGGUUGGGGUGGGGAACCUAUACUUGAUGUGGUCUGUUUUUAAAAAUUCAGAGAAGGAUCUGAAAAACCAUUUAUGGUGAUUCUUGUUUUUGAGAUGCAUUUAUUGAAUUGGUGAGGUAAUAACCAGUGGCUUUUGAUCCUGUUCCUCUUCCCCUUAAAUUCAAAUUUAAAUUUAAACUCCCCAGUAUAAGCCUUUGGGAUUUCUGUCUUCUGGGUUCUUUUUUAAUGUUUAGAAAUCUGUUGGUAUAGUCCAGCUUUUAAUCGGUGACUUGGGUACGAUGAAACUGCUGUCCUAGGAAUUUAAAGAGUAUUGGUCAUGUCUGUAUGGGGAAAUAUGUAUGGGUGUAUUGGUUCGAGUACUUCUGUGUUGCUCUGUCAGAAAAACUAGCUCUCUGUUGCAUCAUGUAUGGGAUUACUAAUCAUUUUCUUCCCCUCUUUACAGCACAAAUAAAGGUUUGAGUUCUAAACUCGUUAAUUGUUGUAUUGGUAUGUUACGUUUUUUGACCUUUAUCUUUUCUGUAAACCAAGUUAUCUUUAAUGAAGUUGGAUGUAUUUUUCUUACUGUAGAUUUAGGCUGUGAUUUGCUCUUUAGGAGCUUUAAAUAAUUGAGGUCAUUUAGUGGAGCGUGGUAACCUCAAACAGAACUGGGAUGUCUUGAAUGGUAUGGAGCCUGGUGGAUGGCAAUGGGGGCUCCUCCGCUCACUGUCGGGGUGUCUAAUGGUUGUGCAAAAUGUGCUGCUGAACCUGACAGCUGGUGAAGGUCCGUGUCAAGGUGCUGGGGGCAUACUUUGUAAUAUCCUGGAACUUUAACUGGUUAGAUUUCCAAAUGGUGUUGUCAGAAAGGGGGCCUAUCAUUGCUUAGGGGAAAACGUAUGAAGAAUACAACACGUGUAAUACAUGUUUUCCGUAUUUGUGGUGUGGGGGAGGCUGGAAUGGAACUGGGUGUGGGUCUAAGCACAUAAUUCUCUACUAAAGAGUUUGGUUUGGCUCUUUAUUGGGUGACACAAGAGUUUGGGCUCGUGUGUACCUGCUGCGUGAAGCAGGCCAAGGUUAUGCAGAGGGCAUGAGAAGCAGCUCUUGGAAGCAGUUUGCCUCUUGACUCUGAAUUGUGUUUCCUGGGUGGGGAGGUGGUGGUAGCUCCAUCCGGGGAGCAAAGUCCUGCUGCUCUGGUGCCUUUACCCGUGGGCCCUAAGGUUUUGCCUCACAGGAGACAGACUUCGGGCUCAGACUAGAAACUGCCACCAGGCUCUGUGAAGAAGGCUUUUGUUUUGGAGGGAGCUGAAAGGGAAGCUCGCCUUUGAAGGGGAGCUAAGACCUGAAUUGGGAACAGAUGAGCACUGUGACCUAAACGGGGGGGGGGGGGGGGGAGCUUGGCCUGAAGAAUUCCUCCAGGAGAGCAGCUGUGGGACUGGCUGUCCCCUCAGUCCUUGCAUCCAGGUGGCCUGCUUGUGGGUCCUCAAGAACCCUGAUGCGCCUGCUUCCAAGAACCUGGAGUUGGGUGCUGGGGAGGAGGAAGGGGCCUAUUGUGGGGGAGGUCAUGGCGCUGCUGUGAGUGGGGGCCGCUGCUUGUGGGUUUGGGGAUCCUUUCCCUGCUUGCCACUCUGGUUCUUGAUCCCCCUGGAACAACCUAGGUCUCCUUUCCUACUUAACUCUUCUCUCUGCUUUGUACCCCAGCCCUCCCCCAUCCGCCCUGCCCUUUAUGCCAAACUGGUUCCUCCUCAUUUUUUACAUGGUGAUUAUGAAACUCUUGCUUCCAGCCUUGAGGGUAACUGCUAUAAAUGCCUUUCUAAAUGUCACCGUUUCCUAGCAACUGUGAUGGGCUGAUAAAGAAUUUCCAUAAGGGUGUAAAUGUUUGCCAUUGGCUGAGAGCAGGCAGCUGAAGGCCUCCUAGCCUCCACCCAAUCCAGGGGCGCCUGUGAUGGUCAGUGAAAGAGAUUUCUACCUGUCUAUGUGCACUUACUCUCAGGUCAAGUGGGAUGGGUUGCAGCUGUGGAUGGCUGUGUUGGUGAUUUUUGCUAAUCAGUUUGCAUUCUGGUGCAUAAAAUUGAGCCUUCACUCUUGAACUCCCACAGGCAGUGGAUGAUACGGUGAAAUCCAUUAGGUAGCAAAUGGUGAUCUGGUGCAAAGUAAAAGUGAUGGGGCAUAAGGAUAGCAAAAAGCGCGUUUGGAAGUCCUCUGAAAAAGGACAAUAGCCUGAGAGUGAGUAUGGGUGGAGGCUCCUCUGCGGGCCCAGGUUGGACACUGCGGGAGUGGUCGGCGUCACAAAGGGGAUUGGACCCUAACGGCCCCCUAUUCCGCCCUGUCAGCCGCCCUUGGUUUGUGUCAUUGACCAUGGACAUUAAGGGACUUGUAGGACCUUUUAUGCCGAACCUUGCCUCCGUGUGUCGCUAAGUCUCUGGCGGAAAUGUUAACCUCUGGUCUCGUGCAGUGCUUUUUAUUGUGCGGUGCUGAUACUAAAUGAAAUGCAAAAACAGGCUUACGGAUUCUUGUAUGUUUUAAAUGUUCAUAUGUAUGUAUACAGAACUAUACUGAUGCAGUCUGGAAGUGUCAAGAGGAAGGUAGCCAAACAACCCAAAACAAAAAUUUGUGAAGGUGUAUGUCCCCGGGAGCGUGGCCUUUACCUUGCUGUGGUGGGUGUCCCCUCCACUACCUUUUGGCCACUGGGUAGGACAGUGCCUGCUCUGCUGGGGGCCUCCACCCUCCAGGCCGCCCAGCUCUGUACCUCCUUCCCUCUCUUUUAACUAACUCUUAACUGAGUUCUCGUAUAUAAAAAGGGUUUAUCGUGGGGUUCACAAAUAAAAUUGGAAAAAAACAAAAUCCUCAGUAAUCAUCUGUUACUGGCAUAUUUGCUUCUAGAGGUUUCUUUCUUCCUAUGCAUAGGAUAUGCAUUUUUUUUUAACAAAAAUGGGAUUAUACUGUAAAUUGUUUUGCAGCUCCUUUCACUUAACAUAUAGUGAACCUCUUUUCCUGUCAUUCGAAGCAUCUUUUGUGGUGGUGAGGUACUCCACUGUGUGGCUGUAUCAGUUUAAACAAUCUCCUUUAGAUGACAUAAAUUAUUUUCCAGUUGGUUUUUUUUCUCUCAGGUAGUAAAGCUGUGAUAACCUUCCCUGUAACUCACACUUUCUCUGAAGUCAUCUGAUAUGACUUCUUUGGGAUACGUGAAUAUAUGAAAUGCCUGUGUCAAACUUAGGACUUAAGAUUCAUUCAUGGUGCUGAGUAGCCCUCCUGAGAGGGGUUUUUUAAAUUUGUUUUCUCACAUUGAUGUAAACCUGGCUGUUUACCCUUUUCCAUAGAACAGGUAUUGCCAUGUUAAAAACCUUAGAUCCUGGGGCGCCUCGGUGGCUCAGUCGUUAAGCGUCUGCCUUCGGCUCAGGUCAUGAUCCCAGGGUCCUCGGAUCGAGUCCCGCAUCGGGCUCCCUGCUCGGCGGGGAGUCUGCUUCUCCCUCUCCCACUCCCCCUGCUUGUGUUCCCUCUCUUGCUGUGUCUCUCUCUCUCAAAUAAAUAAAAUCUUAAAAAAAAAAAACAAAAAACUUAGAUCCUUGGGGGGAUCCAGGCUACUUUACUGGGGUGUUGCUUUGCUGCUGCUGAGACUGAACGUCUGUGUGGAUUGGCCAUCGGCAAUGGUGUGUGUGAUUCUGUGUGUGUGCACGUGUGUGUGCACGUGUGUGUGUGCGCGCGUGCGCAAGUACACACAAGCUUCGGCUUCCUGAUCGUUUUCCUAUUGGUUAUUUUGUAAAAGCACUUACAUGUUAAGGCUAUUAAUAACCUAUGUUUGAUGCAAAUAUUUUUCCUGGUUUUAUAGAUUGCCUUUCAUUUUGCUUAUUGUGUUUCAGACACACACAAGUGAUACCGGUUUUCUGAGGUCAUCACUCUUUACAGUUUCUGUACUUGGCGUUGUGCUUAGAUCUCUCCCACCCCAGAAGUAUAUAAAUAUUCUAUAUUGUGACACUUAUGGUUCAUUUUUUACAUUUACACACGGGCUGCAGCUGGAGUUCAUUGUGCCGCCUGGGGGCGGGGGCUGAUGCGCUCUCAGAGCCGCCGGAGCUUGCUCUCCUCCCAGUGUCGGCCUCCCUGGGGCUCCAUGAUGGAGUGAGUGGCAGAGUCCUGUGGGCCAUGAGGGUUGUUGUCACAAUGGAGAGGACCGUGGGGACAGGCUGGUAUGGUCUCCUAGUGGGGUCCUGGUUGUUGCUCCCCCCUGGCUCCCCAUUUCGCCAUCCUAAUUGUUUGGGACCUAUGGCAAACCCCCUCGGGGCGGGGUGUCAAAAGCAGGUACACAAAGAUGGAUCUGGGUUCUACUGACUUGGCUACUCAGCAGCUUUACGAACCAGAACAAGUUACUUAAGCCCACCCAUCAAGCCUGCUUCCCUCAUCUGCGCCGUGACGGUAAAGGCAUGGGCGUGUUGGGCACACGCGGGUGGCGGUGCAGCCUUCCUCUCCUUUAUUGCCCAGCCUCAGGGCCGACCCCUUGGUCCCGGUGCCCUGUCCCUGCCCUCUAGGCACCUGCCUGCCUUGCUCUGAGCCUCUUAGGGAACGACAGUCAGUGUGCAUAAUCUGGUCUGUUCUGGUCUGUUCUGGUCUUGCAUUUAAUUUUGUUUCCAUCCACAUCUCCCUGUAUCAGCGGAAUCCACAAACAGAUUGGAAGUGGCUUUUUCUCCGGGUGGUUGGUUCUCCCACAAGAAUGCCACAGAUGGGCUUCUAGAGGUCUGUGAAUGCUCAAACUGCUUGCUGAAGAAGUCCAUGAUCUCAAAAAAGAUCAAAUGAACAACUGCAUUAUUUUAUCCCACAGCGCUUAGGCUGUAGGAUGUGUAGUCAAGUCUCUUAAGUUGUAAGCAGUGUUUUGACUAUUUUAGAUGGCGCCUGCUGUGAGCAUCUCUAUGAAUUUGGUGUCCCGUUUGUUCCCCAGAGUGGCGUUGCUUGGUCCGUGAGUGUGUGUGGUUUUACAGCUCUUGUCACAGACUCAGAUACUCAGAUACUCUCCGGAAAGCUUACAUUUCCUCUUGUGAGUAUAUCCCUUUCCCCACAUAGUUGCCAACGUCAGGUUUUUUAAAUGGUGGUAAAAUACACGUAACGUAAAAUUUAUCUUCUUAAUCAUUUUUAAGUGCAACGGUUGAGUAGAGUUCAAUUUAUUGUUGUGCAACCAAUCUCUAGAACUUUUUCAUCUUGCAAAACUGAAAUUUUAUACCCAGUAAACUCCCCAUUCACUUAUCCCUUUAGCCCCUGGCACCCGUCAUUCUGUUUUUCUCUCUCUGAGUUUGACUACUCUAGGUACCUCGUGUUAAGUAGAAUCAUAAAGUAUUUGUCUUUUUGUGACUGGCUUAUUUUACUUGGCAUAACGUCCUCAAGGCUCAUCUGUGUUACAGCGUGUGUCAAAAUUUUCCUCCUCCUUAAAGGAGUUGAAACAAAGGCGCCUGGCUGGCUCAGUCCGUACGGCGUGCAACUCUUGAUCUCGGGGUCGUGAGUUUGAGCCCCAGGUUGGGCGUAGAGAUGACUUUAAAUAAAUAAGCGAGCGGAAGCAUAUUCCAUGGUAUGUAACAUCUUAUUUAUCAUCUGUCAGUUAACACUUGGGUUCCUCCACCUUUUUGGUUAUUGUGAAUAAUGCUGCUUUGAACAUGUGUGUACAAAUACCUUUGGAAACCCUGCUUUCAUUUCUUUGGGCGAUACACGCGGAAGUGGGAUUGCUGGAUCAUACGGUAUUUCGAUUUUUUAUUUUUGAGGAGCCACACAGUUUUCCAUAGCAGCCGCGCCACUGUACAUCCCCAGCAGUUUGCAAGAAUUCCGAUUUUCCACAUUGUCACCAACACUUGUUCCCUGUUGCUGUUUGAAAUAGCGGCCAUCCUACUGGGUGUGAAGUGCUGUCUGCUUGUGGUUUUGAUCUACAUUUCCGUAAUAAUUAGUGAUGUGGCGCAUCUUUCUAUAGGAUUGUUGGCCAUUUGUAUGUCUUGUUUGGAGAAAUAAUCUUUUCAAGUCCUUUGCCCAUUUUUAAAACUGGGUUAUUUUUUUAUUGUUAUUGAUUGGUAGUUCUUCAAAUAUAUUUUAGAUAUUAACCCUUUAUCAGAUCUGUGAUUUACAAAUAUUUUCUCUCAUUGUGUAUGUUGCCUUCUCAGUCUGUUGAUGGUGUCCUUUGAUGCCCAGAAGUUUUUAAUUCUCAUGUAGUCCAGUUUAUCUUUUUUUUAAUUUUGUUACCUGAGCUUUCCAAGAAAUCAUUGCCAAGUCCAAUGUUAUGAACUAUUUAUUGCUACUUUUAAAAGUACUUCGGUAGUCUUAAUCCAUAUUUUUGAACUUAAUGGUUAGUCUGUUUUACCAUUUGAUUUACCACCUGCCUUUUCCUCUUUGACCACUUACCAUAUGAAAUUCCAUAUUGAUUUUCAUAAUGAUCGUGAGGUUCUUUGUUCACUUCAGAAGGUAAGCUUUUGCCAGUUAUGUUUGUCAAACUUACUCUGUUUUGUCCCUUUUAUUGUUGGUGCAAAAAGUAUCUAUCACACAAGGACUGUUAAAACAUUCAUCUACCAAGUCUAGUGAUAACUAAUAAGUCUGUUGGUUUUGCUUCUGAUUAGUUUUUCUUUAGUAUCUAAAUAUGUAUGUACUCUCAUGGUUUAAUAAGUACUCGUCACCAUUUAAGGAGUUAUGAAUCCAACUUAGGAGUGGAUCUAAAUUAAUUCUACUUAUAAAGUUGAAAUGUCAAACUUUUAUUGAGCAAACACUAUCUUUGUUUUGUUCCAGGUCAAUAUUAGUGUCUUACGAUCAUCUGCCUGAAUCUGUUUCUGGAGUUUUUAUCCUUUAGUUUUUGUUGCUUCUAAUCAAAUACAGCAAAUUUUAAUGACUGUCACUGUUCAUUAUGUUUAGUAAAUGGAGACUCUGCUACUCUUUUUUUGACUCUGCUACUCUUUUUUUUUUUUUUUUUUAAAGAUUUUAUUUAUUUAUUCAUGAGAGACAGAGAGACAGAGAGAGAGAGGCAGAGGGAGAAGCAGGCUCCCAAGGAGCAGGAAGCCCGAUGCGGGACUCGAUCCCAGGACCCUGGGAUCAUGACCUGAGCCAAAGGCAGACGCUUAACCAUCUGAGCCACCCAGGCGCCCUGACUCUGCUACUCUUAAAGCAAGAAUAUUCUCUCCCUGUUGGAACUCAAGUACACAAAACUGGGUUAAUCUUUGGUUCAUGAUAUAACAUGGCUCUUUUAUUUGCUACAUUGAUGUUUUUAAUAAUGUGGUAAGCAUUUCUGAAUCUUCUGUUCAGUAUGAAAACUAGGACUUUAGACAGUAGCUUCCUCUACCUAUGAGGUCGUGCCCGCCCCUGCCAUCUCCUGCCAUCUCCCUGCCUCCCUCUAGGCCAGCGUAUCAUCAUCCUGAAUACUGGGUUUACCUUUACUUGCUUUCUUUUCGUGUAACUCUAAAAAAAAAAAACCUACCUCAGUGUGUUUCUUGAGGAAGGUCCAGGUAUUCACAGCCCCUCGGGGACAGCACAGCACAGUCGCUCUCCCUCCUGUGCUGUCUGGGUCUGAGACUGCCCAUUUAGCACAAAACAAGAAUGGACCUAACAGACUUACAGUCUCCUGGUGCUCUUUCCCCUAAGCAGGUCCUAAACUAUUCUAGGACACCAGUUGUGACCUGGGCAGAAAGCAGCAUUUAACUAUAUCUUAUUUGUUGGUUGGUGUGGUCUGUUGAAAUCUCGCCUGGCAUCCAGCUGUAGGCAUUUCUGAUCCUAAGUGGAAAAGGAUUGCACUCCGGCGGGGCACAGUCCGCUCUCUCUCCCACCCUUCUGCUCAGAACUGCCUCUCAGAGGCCACCAAAUGCCAGGAACACAGUUGGGAACCUGGCUCUGUCUCUUACUCGCCUAAUAGGGUCACAGAGAGCUUAACAUUGGGAAUCCCAAGGCCCAGGAUCUGCCCCGGCAGCCUUAUUCUUGCCCCCUUAGCCUCUGGGGUAAUCGGUACACUGUCCCCCUGACUCCUCUGUUAUGUAACAGUCGUGUGACCAGCAGUCUGUGUGUCAAAGCAAGGCCCUGCCCCUGCCCCAUGCUGACCCCAACGGCAAGGCUCUGCUAGUUUUCUUCCGAUUUAUUUCAAGGCAUAAAAAAUGUUCAAAGUAAUACCUGCAUGUGUUAAAAAUUCAAACCCUGUAAAGGGGAUAGAGUGACAUCUUUCUCUAACCCCCAGCCUCCCUUCCCACAGGGGCAACUAUUGUGGCCAGUUGCUGGUUCUUUCUGGAGAAUCCUGUGUACGUAUUUCCCUAUGGAGGUCCUGCUACACCACACACCCUGUCUUGUCCUUUGGAUUGUUCAGUUAACAACAGGACAUCAAGGAGCUCACUGCAUAUCUCUUUUUUGGUCUACCUUGGGCUUUUUCCACAUCUGUGUGAUAGUCCAUGUUUGAAUUAACCCAUUUCCCUUUGGGGGAACAAUUAGAUUGUUUCUAGCAAGUUUUACUGUGUAUAAGGCUAUACUAAAUAUGGGUCUACAUGGUUCUUGGUGUACAUGGGCAACCAUGCCUCUGGGGAAAGCCUUCUAUACAGGAGGAUUCUGGGUCACGGUCCAUGUGUCUUUCCAAACAUGAUGGGCAUUGCCCACCUAUGUACACGGUGCUUAACACGGUCCUUAAGUUGUUCUGGUUGAUGUUUCCCUACACCUUUACCAACACUGUAUUCUUAAAUUUGGUUGUCAGUGUGAGAAGUGAAAAUAGUAUUUCACUGUAGUUUUGACUUCUAUUUCUGUCGGGCUGUGUGCUUACGGAUUUUCAAGAGCUUUAUAUAUUGAAGAAAUGAACCCUUUGUCAUUUGUGCUGCACGUACUUUCCUGAUUGUCCUUGAUCUUGAUUUUACGUUUCGUGCUAAAGAUUUGCUGUUCAGGGUUUUAAAUACACUUAAAGUUAUUUAUCAAUGUUUUCUUUUAUGGCUUCUGGGUUUUAGGACUCAGGUUGCCAAGUACCCUCCUUAAAGACGGGCACACCUCCGCCUUCCCCAGCCCGCCAACAGCUAUGGUUCCCUGCAGCCCUGCCCUGGCCAUUUUGGGGUUUAUCUUUGCUGAUUGGAAGGCAGAUCCAGCAUCUCCAUGUGUCAGUUUGCACUUUUUGAUUCUGUGAAGUUGAAUCUUGUUGGCUGACGUGUGUGUCUGCUUUGUGCUUCACUUACAUUUUCAUUUCCCGAGAGCUCUUUACUUGAGGACAUUGACCCUUGUAUAUUACAGAACAUUUUUCAAGUUUAUAGUGUGCCUUUCUUUUCUCUUUUUCCUUUCUUGAGUGUAGUUGACACACGACGUGACAUCGGUUUCAGGUUGUAGUUUGUCUUUUAAAUGUACAGGUUGGAUCUUGCUGAUGGUUUUAAGUUUUGUCAUCAAAUCUGUUGUUACCAUCAUGGUUUCAUACUUUGAUGUUAAUGCUGUAUUUCCCACUGGUUUCUUUGUGCUUUCAUUUUUGACAUUUGACGUAACUCUUUAAUCCAUCUAGAAGUUGUUUGGGUGUUUGUACAGUAUGAGGUGAGAAUCUAAAGAUUUCAAGAUGGGCUAACCGAUUUCCCAGUACCACUUCCUGAAUAAUGCUUUCUCUACUGAUGCGAAAUGGCAUUUGUUAGUUAUGGACUAAAUACUUUAAUAUAAUUGAGUCUAUUUCUGAACUUUCUGGUCUUCCACCAGUUUCUUUCCUCUGCCAGCCCAAUGUUUUCGUAUGUUAGCUUUAUCCUAUCUGAUUGUAAUAUGUGCUGAUACCAUCCCCUGACAUUCCUUUUGAAGGUAUUCUGAUUUUUACUGGAAUUGCAUUACAUUUAUCAAUAUAUUAUGAUAUCGAGACAUCCCAUUUAGGAACUGGCCUCCCUGUUCAUUCAGGAUAGGAUGAUUUUCAUGUCCCUCAGGAAUUUGAGACUUGUACAAGUUAUGUACAUUUAUGAAGUUUGCUUCUAGAAAUGUUAUAUUCUGUGUUGUGGUUAGAUAUAUUUUUCUAUUAAAAUUUCUGAUUAAGGUAGCAUAUGGUAAGACUUGUAUAUAUAUGUUAUUUUGAAAAUAAAUAUGCUGAUUAUUAGGGCCGAUUGGGAGGCAAUAAGACAUCUUGGCUAAAAGGGCAGGCUUUUGAGUCAGAUGACCGUGCUCUCCUGCUGGACCUGCCUCUUACUUAUUUUCUGUGUGACCAUCUCCCUGCCUGAGUUUCUCCAUUUGUAAGAAGGGAUAAUCCAAUAUCCACUAAGAAGCGGGAUGAGGGUUAAUGAAAUGAUGGAGGCAUUGUGCUGGGGGCCCUGCUGACAUGGAGUGAGCACUGUUCUGUUGGGGUAUUAAAGUAAGAGUCAUCUAAUGGUUCUGUCCUCCACGUGAUUUAUUCCAUUUUUCAUGCUUCUUUCCUCCUGUCUUACUGGCAUUGGCUGUCAUCACUAAUGAGCAUGAGCAUUGUGGUCUUGUUCCCACCCAACCCUCUGGUGGGAUCUGUCAGCAGAUGGAGAAGGGUCAGGCUGGCCCUGGGAGGUGCUGGUGAGCCCCCAGCAGCACAUGUCAGGCUGCCCAUUGAUCAUCUUUCCGGUGGUCCUCAGUUGGGGUGAUCUGCUGGGGAGAGACCUCUUAGAUUUUAAUAUUUGCGUAUUUUAACAAAUAUUUGAAAAUUGCUGGUUUUCUAUUUAUGGUGCUAAUGUUUCCUUUUAAAAGGAAUUUAUUUUUCCUUUUUUUAAUUGAAAUAUCCUACACAUACCAUAAAAUUCAGCUUUUGAAGUGUAUAAUUCAGUGGUUUUUAGUAUAUUCAGUGUGUUGGCAAUCAUCACUAUUAUCCAUUUCCAGAACUUGUUCAUCUUCCCAGACAGAAGCAUGGUAUCCAUAAAACAGUAAGUAACUUCUAUCCCGCCCUCCCACUGGUGCCUGGUAACCUUUAUUCUACCAUCUGUCUCUAUGAAUUUGCCUAUUCUAGGUUCCUCAUGUAAGUGGACUCAUAAGACAUUUGUCCUUUUGUGUCCAUCUUAUUCUGGCUAGCGUAAUGUUUUCAACGUUCAUUCAUGUAACAGGACGUCAUUCCUUUGUGAGCCUGCAUAAUAUCCCAUCGUCUGGCUAGACCACAUUUUGUUUAUCCGGUCAUCAGUUGGACACUUGGGAUGUGUCCGAUUUUUUUGGCUAUUAUGAAUAAUGCUGCUAUGAACUUUUUAUUGAACAUGUUUUAAAUUGUCUUUGAUAUGUACCUAGGAGUGGGACCACUUGCUGGGUCUGAUGAUAACUCUCUAACUUUUUGAGGAACUGCCGAACUGUUCCCCAGUGUAGAAGCACUACUUUUCAUUCCCGCCAGUAACUUAGGAGGGUUCCAAUUUCUCCACAUCUUCAACACUUGUUCUCAUCUGGCUUUUUGUGUUUUUUUAUAGAAGCUCUCCGCCCAAUGUGGGGCUUGAACCCAUGACCCGGAGUCACGUGCUCUUCCAACUGAGCUAGCCAGGUGCCUGUCUGGCGUUUUGAUUAUAGCCAUCCUAAUGGGGGUGAAGUAGUAUCUCGUGUCAUUUUGAUUUGCAUUUGUUGUGAAGCACCUUUUCCUGUGCUUGUUGGCCGAGUGUAGAUCUUCUUUGGAGGAGUGUCUAUACUGAGCCUCUGUUCCCUUUUUAGCUGGGUGUUUCUCGUCUCAUUGAAUUUUAAGAGUUCUUUGUAUACUCUGGAUACUAGACACCAAGCGGAUAGAUGAUUUGCAGAUACGUGUUCCCCUCCUGGGGGUUGUGUUUCCACUUUCUUGGUAGUGUUCUUUGACAUAAAUUUAUAUUUUAAAAGUAACUUGAUUUAGGGGCGCCUGGGUGGCUCAGAUGGUUAAGCGUCUGCCUUUGGCUCAGGUCAUGAUCCUGGGGUCCUGGGAUCGAGCCCCACAUCGGGUUCCUGGCUCAGUGGGGAGCCUGCUUCUCCCUCUCCCUCUGCCUCUCUCCCUGCUCAUGCUCUUUCUCUGUAUCUCUGUCUCUCAAGUGAAUAAAUAAAAUCUUAAAAAAAAAAAAAUAAUAACUUGAUUUAAGGGAAAAAAAAAAAAAGGAUUGGCCGUACUCAGAUGUGGCAGAAAAUGUCCAGGUGUUGUAUGAAUGAUUAAGGUGGUGGGGGCAGAGAACAGAGUGUGACCCGAUCCUGCUCUGGUGCGUCCCUUCACUUGCGGUGUCCCCAAGCAUCUCCUGGUGCGUGAGCUGGGAUCAUCUGUCAGUAGAUUGCUUAGAAGUUGCUGUUUUGUCAUUUAAGUUCCAUAGUAGAUAACUGGAUUUAUUCAGCUGUCUUUCCUGCAUCUUUUUAAAUGAGCAUCCAGUUUUUCUCCUUUCAUUUUCUCAUGAUUAAUUGCAUCAUGGAUUAUUAAGCGCUCCUGUGAUUUCUGAGACACACCAUUCCCAGGCCUGGAGCUUUAGUGUGUCAGCGUGGAAAUGAAUCGGAAGGUCCACUUCACCUUCAGGGCGCGGUCAGGCGGGUGUUGGUGUCAGGAUGUCCGGAAAGGCAGAGACGCCGUCUGAGCCCGUCUGAGCCGCAUAUCAGGCGCUCUGCUCAGCAGGGAGUUUGCCUCUCCCUCUCUCCGAUCCUCCUCCGCUUGUGCUCUCUCUCUCUCUGUCUCAAAUAAAUAAAAUCUUUAAAAUAUAUAUCUAUUUUAUUGGCCUUUUCAAAGAAGCAGCUUUAGAUAGAAUAAGCAGUUCUACUGCCUUCAUGUUGUAAUUUGUUAAUUCUGCUGCUUUCCUCAGAUGUUGUUUUGUUUCUCUUUCUGGAGUCCCGCACGGUCAUGCUGAACUGGGCAGGCAGCAGGCAACGCGAAGUAAUGGAGGCUGUCAGUCCUGCGCCAGCCCCGCGGGGCCACCAAACCCAGGGAGGGCCUUUGAGCUCUCCCUUGAAGGGUGCAUGAAGCUGUAAAGAAGAGCAUUCCCAGCUGAGAGAAGGGCAUGAGCAAAGCCUCUGAGCUGUGAGGGGAACUGGCGGGAGCUGGGGGGGAGGGGGUGGGCACGGUGAGGGUUCAGGAUGUGCCCCGCAGGUAUUUGGGGAAAGAGUUUGCUGUCCUUAUUCCCCAUAUGCUUUGUGGUUUCAGUUCUGGUGUAUAAUUUGAACAUAGUUAUUUAAGAGUAUGCUUUAAAACUUCCAAGAUUUGGAAAGGUUUUUGUUUUUGUUUUAACUAUUAUAAUCUAUUUCUGUCUUAAUGAAUGGCUACCCAAGGAAGUGUCCUGUACAGUUUCUGCCUUUUUGAAUCUGUGGCUCACUUUCUUCAUUGCUUAAGGUAUGACUAUUUUUAUAUAUGUUCUGUGGCAUUUGAGAAGGUAUUCUUUGUCCCGUUCCCUAUUUUUGGAUUGGUCCCUCUCAAUGGUUUUUGGUCCAAUCCAGAUCCACUAUAUCCCUCUGUAAUGAGAAGUGAAGAUGUUUUCCCCACCACUUCUGGUUCCCCGUCCAUUCCCCCCACCCCGCGCCCCCAGACUGCUUACCAGUUUUGUUAUGUGUGUUUUGCUGCAGUGUGUGGGGUACAUGGAGACUCCAGAUGGCACGAUCCACUCCUGCAGGGGUGGAGUGCAGGGGUGGAGUGCUUGAUGCUGGCGGGGGCCCAGGAACCUACUCCCCUACCCCGCCCCCAGCCGGACUGUCUUCUGGUUUGCAUUUGAAUGAAGUGCCUGUGUGUUGGGGAAUUUUCAACAGAGUGUUUUUUGACUACCCACCCCUCCAUUUCUGAGGCCUUUUAAGGCCAGAGCUUUGUUGCUUCGUCAGGUUGGGACUUAGAUGGCUGAUUCCUCUCCUGCUGCAGUAAGUAAGUGCCUGUCCUUUGUGGUGUGUUUGGGGGGCUGAAGCCUGAAGGGAGCCUACGAGGGGAAGCUAGGAGGCCGUGGAGUGGGGGGGCAUGAGGGAGGUGGGGGGAGGAGGGAUGGAAGCCUGGAAGCCCCAGACCUUGAGGGUGUGUGUGUGUGUGUGUGUGUGAGAAAUGGGACUGGCUCUGCUUGAGUUCCUCAGGACUAGUAGAGAGGACCCUGUUCUCAGCCUGACCUGAUGCACCUGUGUGACCCUGAACUGGUUUCAGUCCUCUCUGAGCCUCCGCUUCUCAUCUGGACCCUGCUGGGGAGCGGCUACUGAGCUCCUUGGGGCCGACAGGAGGGUCCAGGGGCCCUCCCCUAGUGAGAGGCCAGGCCAGGACUCCUGGACCAGGACCGCAGAGCUUGUGGGGGUGCUCCCACCGGACCCGCCGUGGGCCCGCGGGAGGCAGACCCUAGCCUGGGAGCUGCAGGUGCUGUGGGCAGCAGACUGGGAGGGUGGCCCAGGGCAGGUAAACUGGCCAAGGGUCCAGGGCGGGCUUCCUGUUCCUCCUGUCUCUUGGACCCGUCCUCUCAGGAACUCAGACCCCCGUGGGAGGCAGGUGGGGGCGCUGUGCUUCUGACUUCAUUUUCGGGCAGUGGCAGUUUCCAGGUAGGACCCCACAGCGGGCAGCGGUGGUGAGACGGAGGAUGGGGGGCGAGGCAGCUUGGCCGGCCUGUGUGGCCGCACGCAGCGGGGCACAGCCUACUCCGAGGACCACUGGCGUUUGAGCUGGGCCAGGGUGCUUCAGGUGUCCCCUAGUUCUUAGACUUCCUGUUCCAAUGAAAAACUUGAGAUUUUUGUCUUUAAUUACAAAAGGAAUCUGCAUAGACUUAAAAAUUCAAGCCAUGGAAAAGGUAUAAAGUAAAAUAAAGUCCCUCUCCCAUCACCCAUCUCAGCCCUACUACACUGAGGUGGCCUCUCAAGUUUCUCAGGAUCUUUCUGGAAAUUUCUGUAUCCGUACAAGGACUUGUCACUGCUGACAGUGUCCUAGAGUAAGCAGGACCGUAACUUGUGGUUCCGUGUUCCCUCUGACUUCAUGAGCUCCUGCGGUCGGGAUGUGCACGCAGCACCACAGGAAGCCGUGGCCACGCAGCCAAGGGGACGCUCAAGGGGACGCUCGUCCCCCUGGCUCUGCCUUUGAAAGGGCUACCAGGGGAGGGAGGGUAAGCCUGGGAAGGGGGGAGGCGCGGAGCCGCCGCAGGUGUUUCUUUUACUGGAUGCGGCUUGUGGCCGCAUUCAGGUUUUGCUUUUCACCUUUGAGUCUGUGAGAAAACAAGGAGGAAAAAGCAAAAGGCGCUGGUGGUGGCACGCCCAGCAUUCCGGGCCAGGGUUCGAGUCCCUGUGGCGUCCCUGCUUCCUUCCUUCCUUCCUUCCUUCCUUCCUUCCGGCUCCCAGCUCCAGGCCCCUCCUCCCCCUCCGUGGUCCGGAGAGAGACGUGUGGGGCUCAGGUGCCGCGGGCCUCCCCAGGAGCACGCCCCUCCACGGUCUCCUCCCUCACCCCCUGGAGGACCUGGGGCUGGGCGGUCAAGGGCUCUCGCGGCUGCAGCCCCUCCCCCCUGCCCUGAGCCAUACGCAGAAGAUGAAUUAGUACCUUUGAGAAGAAGAGAGCUUGGGGGCUCUGAACCCCAAGGCUGAGGGGCCCACCUGCAGCGCCCACAUUCCUCAGGGUGUGCUCCCCACCUGGCCGCUUCCGGCUGAGGCUCCCAGGACCAACUCCCCACUGCCCUCCACGUCCGAGGACCAGGAGGAUGGCUCUUCCGGGAGGGCUGAGUGGAUGAGGUCAGAUGGCAGAGCUCUGGGCUGGCAGGUCGGGGUGCAGAGUGGCCCUGGGGGAACAGAAGGGAGGGGCCCACAAACUGACCCAGGGGCAGGAAAUGGGGCAGGAGGGGCCAGAGUGGGCCCUGAGGGGUCUGAGACUGUCCAGGCACCUGGGACCUGGAGGAUGGAUCCCAGGAGACCGCCCCCCCCCCAGGUCAGGACCCAGCCGGGGCAGUGUGCCGUGAUCCUAAGCGAGUUCCCUGCAAGCCCCUAGCAGCUGCCAUCUCUGUCUCUGGGAUUCCUUUGGCCUCUCUCCCAGCUUUGGCCAGCCUCCCCAUCCCUCCCCCACAUCCCCGGAAAGAGGUCAGAGGAUCACAAUCCAGUUCACUGGCCAUGAUACUGAUGCUGUCUGCACCUUGGAACAGGGCUGCCUUGGCUCCAGCCUGAGCCCACGGUUCCCAGGGAACCCCUGCCUAUCACUGCAAUAACCUCUUCCUUCAACAACCCCUGUCUCAUCAGGAACACUGGAAGCAGAAGGGGAGGUGUGCAAAGUUGGCCUGGCAGGCGGGGCCUUCUCCUAGCCAGGCGGGGGGCUCCCCUACCUCUCAGAACCCAGUUAGAAUCCCAGGUCCUGGGCUCAGCCCAAACUCAGGUCACAUGAUAGGACAAGUCCUCUCUGGAGAGCUGGGCUCCUAUGAGCUGGAGGGGACACCAGACCUGGACAAGCCUGAGGGAAAUGCCAUGUGCAGGGCAGAGGGAGGGGAUCAGGAUACACAGAGGGGCAGGAAGCUGGUCAGCUUUGGUUGAGAGAAUAUCUUUUUUGUUGUUGUUAGAGCACAAGCAGGGGGAGUGACAGAGGGAGAGGGAGAGGCAGGCUCCCCGCUGAGCAAGGACUCAAUCCCAGCACCCUGGGAUCAUGACCUGAGCCGAAGGCAGGCACUUAACCGACUGAGCCACACAGGUGUCCCAACAGAACAUCUUAAGGGACCUUGGGGGUCAGGGGGCGCCUGGCCAGCUCAGUUGGUGGAGUGUGCGACUCUUGAUUUCAGGGUUGUAAGUUCGAGCCCCACAGUGAAUUUAUUUAAAAAAAAAUUUUUUUUAAGAUUUUAUUUUUAAGUAAUCUCUACACCCAACAUGGGGCUGAAACUCACAAACCCUGAGAUCAAGAGUCAAACUCUCUACCAACUGAGCUAGGCAGGUGCCCCCCAAAAAAAUCUCUUAAAAAAAUAAGGGACCCAGGGGCGCUCAGGUGGCUCAGUUGUUAGGCAUCUGCCUUCCGCUCAGGUCAUGAUCCCAAGGUCCUGGGAUCGAGCCCCACAUCAGGCUCCCUCUCCCACUCCCCCUUCUUGUGUUCCCUCUCUUGCUGUGUCUCUCUCUGUCAAAUAAAUAAAAUAAAAAUCUUAAAAAAAAAAAAAAGACUUAAAAAAAUAAGGGACCUUGGCUUGGGCCCUCCUAAAGGAGAGUGAUGGCCGGUUUGCCAUCAUCUGCAGUCCCUCAGCCCCUUGGCAAGUUUUGGUGACAGAAAAUUGCCCUCUGGAUCUGGUGUUCCUGGUGUAGGCAGUGAGAGGAAACAGCAGGAGGCCUGUGGGUGGCCUGUGUGUGUCCUGAGCAGCCAGGCCUGGGCACUAAGGUCACGAUGUCCACCAAGGUGUCUGUCUAUGUGAAAUGCAGCAGCCACAUGGGCCAGAAGCAGCUUCGGGACCUGUUGUCCUUGGACAUGAUCAACCCCACUGCUAGGGACUGACAGGCGUAUUAUGCUCGUGCAUAAGCAAAGGCAGGAAGCCCAGGAGUGAAUGACAGAGAGGAGCCAACAUGUGGCAAAGAGCAUGGACCUGAGUCUAUGCUCUGAGUCUGAUCUAGCCUGUUUGAGACUCAGUUUCCCCAUCUCUAAAAUGGAGUCAAGGGUACCUGCCUUGCAGGGUUGUGGGGAGAAUUAGGGACGUUUAUGAACUGCCACAUGGAAGGUACUCAAAAGUGGCUAUGGACACAAAGGACUCGGGGCUCGGGAGAGGCAGGACUGUGAAAACAGGUUGGAGUCAGCUGGGAACAGCUUUGCUUACAAGGCUGAGCAGAGGCAAUGGGGAGCUGCAGAAGGAUUUUAAGCAGGAGAGACACGUGGUCAGAUCCAGGUUUUAGGAGGGUCACCACCCGGGCCAAGGGACGAUGGACUGAAGGUCAGAGAGGAAGAAGCCAUUGCAGGAUGAGGAGGCCUGGACGGGGCAGGGACAGUGGGGACAGAGGAGGGGAGAGUGCCAAGGUGGGGCUUGUGUCCAACUGGUACAGACCACGCAGGUGGCUGGGGACAGGUUCAAGCCUCGGUUGUUCCCUUCUUCCAUUCUCCGCUGGUUCUUCUCCAUCCUCCUGACCCUGCGGAUCCCAGACUCCCAGCCCGCCCCCAGCCUCUCCUGCCUCCAUUCCCUGUGUCAGAUUUCAGAGUGGGGGCUGAAUUUGACCCCAAGGCAUUUUGCUUGGCCUUCUGGACUUUUUUUAAUGUUCAAAAAAAAUUUUAUUGUGGGGGCGCCCGGGUGGCUCAUUCGGUUAGGUGUCCAACUCUUGGUUUCUGCCCAGGUCAUGAUCUCAGAGUCUCCCUCUGCCCCGCCCCCCUGCUCUCUCUCAAAUAAAUCUUGAAAAAAAUUUAUUGUGGACACACACACACACACACAAUGUAAAACUUGCCAUUUAACCAUUUUAAGUGUCUAAUUCCAUGGCAUUAAUUACAUUCACAAUGUUGUGCAACCAUCACCGCUGUUUCCAGAUCCCUUUUAUCACCCCACAGCAGAAACCAUAUCCAUUAAGCAGCUGCUCCCAUUUCCCCCUCCCCACAGCCCCUGGUAUCCUCUAAUCUACUUCCUGUUUCUAUGACUGCCAAUUUUAGGUAUUUCAUGUAAGUAGAAUCUAAAAUAAUUGUCCCAUGAAACUAAAAUAACACUGGGCGCCUGGGUGGGUCAGUCGUUAAGCGUCUGCCUUCCAUUCAGGUCAUGAUCCUGGAGUCCGGAGAUCGAGUCCCACAUCAGGCUCCCUGCUCGGCAGGAAGCCUGCUUCUCCCUCUCCCACUUCCCCUGCUUGUGUUCCUGCUGUCGCUAUCUCUCUGUCAAAUAAAAAAAAAAAAAAAAAAGAAA